CUAAAUCCAUUGGUCAAGCCAGAAGUGAAGUUGAUCGAGUUGAAUCCAAAUCCGACCAUGGUUUCUCUCUCUUAAGCCGUCUCGGCCGAACCGGCGAUCGUUCUGAUGAACUGAUCCGACACUUCGAUCAGUUCAUGAACUUUGAUCAACCAAAUCUCUCUAAGGCAAGACUCUUGAGGUUGUCCGAAGACUUAGCCACCUUUUGGCCCGGAACAGUUCAUGAAAAUCACCCGUCCGUACAUGAAGAACGAACCGGCCGUGUACUUCUUCUUACCGCGGGACGCGCUAUCAGUUACACCGAACCUGGACAAGAGUAGCCGAAGAGUUCAAAUCGACCAGUCAACAUUAUUUUCUGUGCUUUGACUAGAUCUGGUCUUCUAUCUAUUUUCUAUGUCUAUUUUUCAUACAUUCUACUUAUUAUCUUUGACUACAAGUUGUAUAAGUAUGAGAACACAUCUUUGAGAUGAAAUAAUCGAUUUUCCUUAUUCAUUUUUGAGUGUUCUUUCUUUGUUCUUUGAUUAGAACAUUCUUGUUCCCUUGGUGAGGCUAUCUCCAAGUGAAUCCCCUUUCUUUGAGCCGGACAUGUGUGUCAAAUCAAGCGGCCAUUGAGAGUUCUAGUAGUAUCAUUGGGCCUUCCGCAUCCCUUUGUGUCACUAAACAAUCCAUCAGUUCUCUAUCUCUUCAGAUCGAGUUCAUAUCUUCAGAUCCAGUUGAGUGUUCGUUCCUUAGGGGUCUUCAAGUGGUAUCAGAGCCACUCUCCCGGUAUCUCUUUUCAUUCCAUCUUUCUCAUCUAUCAUUUUCUUCAUUAAAAAAAAAAAAAAUUCUUCUUCUAUCUAUCUUUGGAUCCGGGCCCCUCUUUACCAUCCAUAUAUAUAUAAAAAAAAAGAAAGAUCUAAUCAAAAAAAAAAAGAAAGAAAAGAUAUCAAAAGUUUUCAAUUGUGGUUUGGUGGUAGAAGAGUAAUCCUGCUGGCCGAGGAGAAAUCCGGUCUUGGAGGUGGUUAAUACGGAUUCCCCUUGUUAAAUCUCUUAUCUUUCUAUCUUGUCUCUUGGGUGUUUCACUUGGGAUUCUCAUUUUGGGAUAUCUAGUUUGUUCUCUUAGAACUUUGAGGGAAACUCUCUUGAGUGACUACCAAAUUGAGUGAAACACGUGUGUGGGCAAGGACAAACAACUGAGUGUGAGAGGGUUUUAAUCUAACUUUACCUUGUCUAAGUUUUCAGGUAGCCAUGGAUAGUGAAGAAGAAAGAAACCGACCCGGAAACUCAUAUGCCGGACUAUCUAACUUGCAAAUGCGUGCUCUCAAUGAUUCUAUGUCUAACUUGUUGAAUACAGGUUUGGAGGCGAUCCAUCAGAGGCUUGAUGAACUUCAGGGCCGUCCAACUCAGUCACGUACCAGAACCAGACGUGACCAUCCAAGGAGGAACAGCCGGUCCGACCUAGAAAUCCGAGAAGAGUCUUAUGAUGAUGAUCGAUCCAUCAACCGUCCAAGGAGAGUUCCUAGGCAUCAAAACCGAGGUGAUGUCAAUCCUUUUGGUAGAAAUGAAAGAACCAAUGAUGGCUUGAGUGGUUUGAAAUUGAAAAUUC
RNAcentral lists this long non-coding RNA (1582 nucleotides) under Brassica rapa (field mustard). RNAcentral describes it as "long non-coding RNA (BRAP_LNC004375)". Lineage: Eukaryota; Viridiplantae; Streptophyta; Magnoliopsida; Brassicales; Brassicaceae. The record is from RNAcentral.